GGAGGGGUGCUAGAGUGGUCGAAUAGGACAGUCUUGAAAACUGUUGAGGCAGAAAUGUCUCCGUGGGUUCGAAUCCCACCCCCUCCG
Molecule: non-coding RNA, 87 nt
Organism: Candidatus Buchananbacteria bacterium
Lineage: Bacteria; Candidatus Buchananiibacteriota
Source: Rfam